AGUGGCGGACGGGUGAGUAACGCGUGAGAAUCUGCCUUCAGGAGGGGGACAACAGUUGGAAACGGCUGCUAAUACCCCGUAAGUCUACGGAUAAAACGGUUAAUUCCGCCUGAAGAUGAGCUCGCGUCGGAUUAGCUAGUUGGUGGGGUAAAGGCUUACCAAGGCGACGAUCCGUAGUUGGUCUGAGAGGAUGAUCAGCCACACUGGGACUGAGACACGGCCCAGACUCCUACGGGAGGCAGCAGUGGGGAAUUUUCCGCAAUGGGCGAAAGCCUGACGGAGCAACGCCGCGUUCGGGAGGACGGCCUGUGGGUUGUAAACCGCUUUUCUCAGGGAAGAAGAUCUUACGGUACCUGAGGAAUCAGCAUCGGCUAACUCCGUGCCAGCAGCCGCGGUAAUACGGAGGAUGCAAGCGUUAUCCGGAUUUAUUGGGCGUAAAGCGUCCGCAGGCGGCUAAUCAAGUCUGCUGUUAAAGGCCGAGGCUUAACUUCGGUUGAGCAGUGGAAACUGAUUAGCUAGAGUGCGAUAGGGGUAGAGGGAAUUCCCUGUGUAGCGGUGAAAUGCGUAGAUAUUGGGAAGAACACCAGUGGCGAAGGCGCUCUACUGGGUCGCAACUGACGCUGAGGGACGAAAGCUAGGGGAGCGAAAGGGAUUAGAUACCCC
RNAcentral lists this ribosomal RNA (663 nucleotides) under uncultured bacterium. Its description in RNAcentral is "bacterial SSU rRNA". It matches the Rfam family "Bacterial small subunit ribosomal RNA", at positions 94 to 788 of the family's 1533-position model. The record is from RNAcentral.